Molecule: ribosomal RNA, 299 nt
Filed under: uncultured bacterium
Lineage: Bacteria
Description: partial 16S ribosomal RNA
Rfam family: Bacterial small subunit ribosomal RNA
Source: RNAcentral
GGUAGUCCACGCCCUAAACGAUGGUCACUCGGUAUGUGCGGUCUCGACCCCGUACGUGCCUAAGCUAACGCGUUAAGUGACCCGCCUGGGAAGUACGGCCGCAAGGCUAAAACUCAAAGGAAUUGACGGGGAUCCACACAAGCGGUGGAGCAUGUGGUUUAAUUCGACACUAAGCGAAGAACCUCACCAGGACUUGACAUCCUUAGAACACCCUGGAAACAGGGUGGUGCCCGCAAGGGAGCUAAGUGACAGGUGCUGCAUGGUCGUCGUCAGCUCGUGUCGUGAGAUGUCGGGUUAAG